Molecule: ribosomal RNA, 710 nt
Filed under: Amyrsidea minuta
Lineage: Eukaryota; Metazoa; Arthropoda; Insecta; Psocodea; Menoponidae
Description: 12S ribosomal RNA
Source: RNAcentral
UCAUAGAACAUUCAAGUGAGACGUUUUCAUUAAUGAAGAACGCCAGAAAAUUAUAAUAAUAUAACAUAGGUGAUAUAGUACUUGAUAUAAGGUUGAAUAAUUAUGUGCCAGCAAUCGCGGUCAAACAUAAAGCCUAAUCUAUGACAACUUAGAAGAGAUUUAAAUGUUCACACUCAAAACAAUUAAUUUUUAACGGUAAAAUGUAAUUAAUAUAAUUCAAACAGAAAUUUUUAAAAAUCAUAAAACGUUUAACAGACCAGGACUAGAUACCCUGUUAUUAAAGACAAAUCUUCAACUUCAAAAGAUUGAAACAAAUUUUCUUAGAUUUAAGUUUAAUGGCAGUCGGGGAAUCAUAAUAGAGGGAUAUGUUCCAGUAAUCGAAGGUACACGAGAACCUGACUUAGUUUGGUAAUUUCACCUUACCCACCUCCGUCAAUGAAAUUUCUUUGGAAGUUUCAGUUACUACUAUUAUAGUAAUAAAGGCAGGUAAAAGUGUAGGAUAUGGCUAAGAUGGAAUGUAUCUCAUAACAUAUAGAUUUUAAACUAAUAAAUGUAAAAUUAGUUAAUAGAAUUUAUCAGUAACAUUUCCUGAGUAUGGUUUUGUGAAGAUGAUCUCUCCUUUGUACAAAUCGCCCGUCACUUCUUAGUCGUUCUAAGAAAAAGUCGAAACAUAGUAAGAUUACCGGAAGGUGAACUUGAUAAUAACUAUU